This 301-nucleotide ribosomal RNA is filed under the name uncultured bacterium. RNAcentral's name for it is "partial 16S ribosomal RNA". It matches the Rfam family "Bacterial small subunit ribosomal RNA", at positions 509 to 809 of the family's 1533-position model. The record is from RNAcentral.
CAGUUGCCGCGGUAAUACGUAGGUGGCAAGCGUUGUCCGGAAUUAUUGGGCGUAAAGGGCUCGCAGGCGGUUUCUUAAGUCUGGUGUGAAAGCCCCCGGCUCAACCGGGGAGGGUCAUUGGAAACUGGGAAACUUGAGUGCAGAAGAGGUGAGUGGAAUUCCACGUGUAGCGGUGAAAUGCGUAGAGAUGUGGAGGAACACCAGUGGCGAAGGCGACUCUCUGGUCUGUAACUGACGCUGAGGAGCGAAAGCGUGGGGAGCGAACAGGAUUAGAUACCCCCGUAGUCCCUGUCUCUUAUAA